This 201-nucleotide long non-coding RNA is filed under the name Gossypium barbadense (sea-island cotton). Its description in RNAcentral is "long non-coding RNA (GBAR_LNC014078)". The record is from RNAcentral. Lineage: Eukaryota; Viridiplantae; Streptophyta; Magnoliopsida; Malvales; Malvaceae.
AAAUAUAACUUGAGAAUUAUAUUCUGCAUAAACAUAAUUAACUUAUAUUAAGAAAAGAUUAGAUGAAAAUGAAAUUCUACAUCAUAAUCCAUAUGUUAUAUAGUUUUACAACAUCAAAAAGUUUGAACAUUGAUUUUUAAUGGUGAGAAAGAAAUCUUCUGACCCAUUCCAAUCGCGCAACAGAAGGUAAACUAAAGAAAA